This 1207-nucleotide ribosomal RNA is filed under the name metagenome. RNAcentral's name for it is "bacterial SSU rRNA". It matches the Rfam family "Bacterial small subunit ribosomal RNA", at positions 296 to 1498 of the family's 1533-position model. The record is from RNAcentral.
GAGUUUGGCCCGCAACAUCGGGACUGAGACACUGCCCGGACCUCCACGGAGGGCUGCAGUAACGAAUAUUGGGCAAUGAGCGAAAGCUUGGCCCAGCGACGCCGCGUGUAGGAGGAAGUCUUUCGGGAUGUAAACUACUGUCAGGGGGACGAAAGUGCGCUUCGGUGCAUUGAUCGAACCCAGAGGAAGUCACGGCUAACUUCGUGCCAGCAGCCGCGGUAAGACGAAGGUGGCAAGCGUUGUUCGGUAUUACUGGGCUUAAAGCGUGUGUAGGCGGAAGCGUAAGCGUUUUGUGAAAUCCCUCGGCUUAACCGAGGGAUUGCUUGGCGAACUGCGUUUCUUGAGGCAGGUAGGGGUGCGCAGAACUCUUGGUGGAGCGGUGGAAUGCGUAGAUAUCAAGAGGAAUGCCGGUGGAGAAGUCGGUGCACUGGGCCUGACCUGACGCUGAGACACGAAAGCGUGGGGAGCGAACGGGAUUAGAUACCCCGGUAGUCCACGCCGUAAACGAUGCCUACUAGGUUGUGGUGGUUCUGACGCCAGCACAGCCGAAGCUAAAGUGUUAAGUAGGCCGCCUGGGGAGUACGGUCGCAAGGCUAAAACUCAAAGGAAUUGACGGGGGCUCACACAAGCGGUGGAGCAUGUGGAUUAAUUCGAACCAACGCGCAGAACCUUACCAGGGUUUGACAUGCUUGGAUGCCGCCGAGGAAACUCGGUUAGGCUGCCUUCGGGUGAAACUUGCACAGGUGCUGCAUGGCUGUCGUCAGCUCGUGUCGUGAGAUGUCGGGUUAAGUCCCUUAACGAGCGAAACCCUUGCCGCUAGUUGCCAGCGAGUCAUGUCGGGGACUCUAGCGGGACUGCCGGUGUUAAACCGGAGGAAGGUGGGGAUGACGUCAAGUCAUCAUGGCCUUUAUGCCCUGGGCUUCACACGUGCUACAAUGGUCAGAACAGAGCGACGCAAGACCGUGAGGUGGAGCAAAUCGCAAAAAUCUGGCCCCAGUUCGGAUUGCAGGCUGGCAACUCCCUGCAUGAAGGUGGAAUCGCUAGUAAUCGCGUAUCAGCGAUGACGCGGUGAAUGUGUUCCUGAGCCUUGUACACACCGCCCGUCAAGUGAUGGGAGUUGGGAGUACCCGAAGUCGUCUUGCUAACCCCUCGGGGAGGCGGAUGCCGACGGUAAGCCCGAUGACUGGCACUAAGUCGUAACAAGGUA